UUGAACGCUGGCGGCAUGCCUUACACAUGCAAGUCGAACGGCAGCGCGGGGGCAACCCUGGCGGCGAGUGGCGAACGGGUGAGUAAUAUAUCGGAACGUACCCUGGAGUGGGGGAUAACGUAGCGAAAGUUACGCUAAUACCGCAUACGAUCUAAGGAUGAAAGCGGGGGAUCGCAAGACCUCGCGCUCAUGGAGCGGCCGAUAUCUGAUUAGCUAGUUGGUAGGGUAAAAGCCUACCAAGGCGACGAUCAGUAGCUGGUCUGAGAGGACGACCAGCCACACUGGGACUGAGACACGGCCCAGACUCCUACGGGAGGCAGCAGUGGGGAAUUUUGGACAAUGGGCGAAAGCCUGAUCCAGCAAUGCCGCGUGUGUGAAGAAGGCCUUCGGGUUGUAAAGCACUUUUGGCGGGAACGAAACGGUUUUGGCUAAUACCUGAGACUAAUGACGGUACCCGCAGAAUAAGCACCGGCUAACUACGU
Molecule: ribosomal RNA, 482 nt
Filed under: uncultured bacterium
Lineage: Bacteria
Description: bacterial SSU rRNA
Rfam family: Bacterial small subunit ribosomal RNA
Source: RNAcentral